AUUCCAGCUCCAAUAGCGUAUAUUAAAGUUGUUGCAGUUAAAAAGCUCGUAGUUGGAUUUCGGAACCGGCCGAUUGGUCCGUCCUCUGGAUCGUGUACUGAUCGGUCUGUUCUUCUUCGCGAAGACCGCGUGUGCCCUUAACUGGGUGGGCGCGGGAUUCGCGACGUUUACUUUGAAAAAAUUAGAGUGUUCAAAGCAGGCAGUCGCUUGAAUAUCUCAGCAUGGAAUAAUAGAAUAGGACUUUGGUCUUAUUUUGUUGGUUUCCGAGACCGAAGUAAUGAUUAGUAGGGACAGUUGGGGGCAUUCGUAUUUCAUUGUCAGAGGUGAAAUUCUUGGAUUUAUGAAAGACGAACUUCUGCGAAAGCAUUUGCCAAGGAUGUUUUCAUUG
RNAcentral lists this ribosomal RNA (388 nucleotides) under Ctenophora sp. (in: diatoms). Its description in RNAcentral is "Ctenophora sp. (in: Bacillariophyta) partial small subunit ribosomal RNA". It matches the Rfam family "Eukaryotic small subunit ribosomal RNA", at positions 582 to 975 of the family's 1831-position model. Lineage: Eukaryota; Bacillariophyta; Fragilariophyceae; Fragilariales; Fragilariaceae. The record is from RNAcentral.